UGAGGAAUUUUGCGCAAUGGGGGAAACCCUGACGCAGCAACGCCGCGUGAGUGAUGAAGGCCUUCGGGUCGUAAAGCUCUGUCAAGUGGGAAGAAUCUGUCCGGUGAUAAUACCGCUGGGCAAUGACGGUACCGCUGAAGGAAGCACCGGCUAACUCCGUGCCAGCAGCCGCGGUAAUACGGGGGGUGCUGGCGUUAUUCGGAAUCAUUGGGCGUAAAGGGCGCGUAGGCGGUCUUUUAAGUCAGAUGUGAAAGCCCUCGGCUUAACUGAGGAAGUGCAUUUGAUACUAAAAGACUUGAGUAUGGGAGAGGGAAGCGGAAUUCCUGGUGUAGCGGUGAAAUGCGUAGAUAUCAGGAGGAACACCGGUGGCGAAGGCGGCUCACUGGAAUGUCACUGACGCUGAAGCGCGAAAGCGUGGGGAGCGAACG
Molecule: ribosomal RNA, 428 nt
Filed under: uncultured prokaryote
Description: bacterial SSU rRNA
Rfam family: Bacterial small subunit ribosomal RNA
Source: RNAcentral